GCUAACGACGGUCCAGCAGGCGUGGGAAUGCGUAGUAGCCAAGUGUUGGCCUGAUUGACUGGGUGUAAAGGGUGCGCAGGCGGACUGUGUAGUCUGUGGUGAAAUCUCGCCGCUUAACGGCGAAACGGCCUUAGAUACUAUCAGUCUUGGAGAAGCGAGAGGUUCGUGGAAUUCCGAGUGUAGCAGUGAAAUGUGUAGAUAUUCGGAAGAACACCAGUGGCGAAGGCAGCGAACUGGCGCUUUAUCGACGCUCAUGCACGAAAGCAUGGGGAUCAAACAGGAUUAGAUACCCUAGUAGUC
Molecule: ribosomal RNA, 300 nt
Filed under: uncultured Cohnella sp.
Lineage: Bacteria; Bacillati; Bacillota; Bacilli; Caryophanales; Paenibacillaceae
Description: bacterial SSU rRNA
Rfam family: Bacterial small subunit ribosomal RNA
Source: RNAcentral